Molecule: long non-coding RNA, 3130 nt
Organism: Mya arenaria
Lineage: Eukaryota; Metazoa; Mollusca; Bivalvia; Myida; Myidae
Exons: 7
Source: RefSeq, a predicted model, not a curated record
GGGACCGCUGGAUUAAGGCGACAAAAAUUGGUCUCCUUAAUAUUUUCAGUCCAGAUUUGAUGUAUCAAAUGUCAAUAAAAAUGUCCAUUGACAGUAAGUUGAUAAGCUUGAAUGUUUAUUUACGAGAUCAUUUCAUUGUUUUAAAUCUUAUUAUCUUUUAAUAUUAAAAAAAAUAUUCUUAAACUUUUGUGUGUGUAUAUUUGUGUAUCCAUAAAAAUAGCUAUUAAGGCGACCAGGGAAAAAAUCAUAAUUUUGGUCAAAAAUAGCUAUAUACUAAGCAUUUUUUAUUUGUUUUACUUUAUUUAAAGCCUAUUGUAUUUUAUCCCGAAGUUUCAUUCCAUAAAAAACAGAAAUAAGGAAAUUCGAUAUUUCGUGUACCACCAGCAUCCAAAUUUUCAAGUAUACAGAAAUUUAACUUUCCGGAAUAUAACGGAAAUUUUCGGGUAUCUCCGUGGUACCAUCUCCGUGCAAUUAUGCAGUAUGGCGUUCAUCUCUUACGGAAAGAGAAUGGUAACUUGUUGCUGCUUGGGACAAUAAAGUUAAGUCAGCAACCGUCUACCAGACUGCAAGAUUCAUCUCUUCCAAAGGAUGUCGUACCUUUCCAGAUACACUGUGUUUUGUGUGGAUAAGAAAUGCAGAGUGGUACCACCAAUCACCUAAGCCACCAUUCCCCUAACAGACAAUAGGCUCAUGGGGACAGUUCCUGCAAUUUACAGAAAAGCUCUCAAUUGUAGCCCUACGAACUUCAGAUACUGCCGAUGGUGAAGCUUGGGUGCACCGGGCCGGUUUUCCAGCCGUGUGGAAUCAACAUCUCCAGCUGAACUGGGGCCGGGAAUUAUAUAAGACUCCUUAGCAGCAUGAGUGCCAGCCAGUCAUUGCUGUUCUUGCAUUGCUGAGGAGGACAGUCCUGCCAACAUAACAGUUUGUUCAAUAACAGGAGACAAACAGAAACACAGGUGCUAUACAUUCUGAUGGAAAAACAAAAGCAUCUCCCAUCAUUUUGGCGUGGCUCAGAUCAAGAGGAGAAUUUUAAGAAAGGUGAUGGUUGGGCACACACAAGAAGACAUAUAUCACAGGCGUCUAGCCAUAUGAGUAGAUAGGAGUGUCACACUCUGCCAAACUUACUUCAUCAGACGAGCAGAAAGCUUCUCAAGAUCCCGCACUGCACACUAAGACAUAGUCUUUGACUACAACAAGGUGAUGAAAGUACAGAAAGGUCCAAUUGAAAUCAAUUCUGUGCUGCUGUCAUUUCUUCAUUCUGGAAGUCGAUGGACAUGAUUUAUCAUGGCAUCAAGUGUGCAGUCUGUCGACUAUCAGCAGUCUUGUUCACCAGCUGUGCAACUUGAGCUGGUAGCUUUAUUGCUUGAAGCCACUGCAUAAGAGGGGGAAGGUGCAGGCUCAUCAAAAAGUCUCAAAAGUUGAAACUAGGAAAAGAAGUUUAUCAAGAGUGAAUCUAUUUUGAAAACAAUCGUUACAAUGAUUUGGUUUCCUUUGAAACUUGAUACAUACUAUGAAUUGAGAUGCUUAAAUAAAAAAACGCUAUUCAAAUAUCAGGAAACUGCCUUUUUCAUACUAAAGGGUAAAUGAUGUCGCCAUUUCCUGUAUGUAUUUAAAUAAGAUAUGUCUCCACAAUUAAUAUUUUUAGGGAAUUUUUCUCAACCUAAUGAAUGAGAUUAAAUUGUACAGCGUUAUAUGAGCUUAAUAUGUGUUUUCUCAUUCUUUAAAAUUGGUGAAAAAUUGUCAGAAGAUAAUUAGACCAGUAUCCAUUACUGCAAUCAUACAAUCAAAUAUACAGGGACAAGCCCACUGGGCAUAUAAUAUAAUUAAACCCUGUUUAGGGGCACGAGGCAAACAGAGUUACUUUCAAACGUUAAAGCUGCACUCUCACACUUUGGAUGUUUUGACAACCUUUUUCAUUUUAUGUCUUGGAUUGGAACCAUCCAAUUUUUGCGAAAAAUUAAAUCCCAGAUUUUUCUAUUUAAGUUAAAACAUUGAUGUUUUUUAUGCACUUUUCUUAAACCGUUAGUAACAUUAAUUUUCGAACGGAAAUAUGAAAUCUGUGAUCUGAUCUUUUGUCAGCAAUCUUUUAUCAUUGGUUUGCAGAUAAUUACGCAAAAACUUGCUCAUUCGAAGACAAAAAAAGUUGUGGAAACGGUAUAUCUGUGAGAGUGCAGCUCUAAAUGUUUAAUUGCUUGAAAUUACAGGGGUUGGGGCAUAUUUUUAGUGUUUUUAUUGCUUGUUUUUGAUUCAUACAGUCAUACUUUAUUCUUCAGGGCACAACUUACAAAUAAACAAAACUGGAAAAUGGUCAUAUCAAAAGGUCAAAGAUAAUGCAAGUUGAACAAUCAUAUUGUUCAUGGCUUGUAUUUUUGGUAUAUUUUGUUGCAUAUGCUAUAGAAAAGUUGAAAGUUAAAAAUAAAUUCAUAGUUGAAAUGAUGGCUUUGAAUGGUAUUGUCAGAUGAGAAACGGCACUAUUAAGAAAUAGGUAUAAUGGUACUUUAUUUAUUUUAAUCAAUUUGAGAUAUUAUGAAAAUUAUUAUCUUAUUUAGUACAUGAGACCUUUUAAAGAGUUAUUGACAAUAUAACAAUGUGUAUAUGAAGCUUUAGAUCAACACUUAAAGCUGCACUCUUACAGAUUGUCAGUUUAGACACAAAAUUGUCUCAAAAUCGGCUGAUUUGGUUAUCAUUCCUUUAAUUCAGUCAUAUUAGAUAAUUUACAAUAGAACCAAUCAAAAAUGUUUGGUAAAACUGCCGAAAAGUUAAUUUACAUUAAAUUGUUUGUAAUGCUUUUAGUCAUUGUUCGUAAUGCUUUUUGUCAUAAAACAUCAUUUUUUUAACAUGAAUAUGAUGAACUGCAAUCUGAUCUUUUUUCAGCAGUCUUAUAUCACUUGGGUCUAGACAUUUCUGCAAAAAAUACUCCAUUUAUUGACAAACAAUAAAAGAGUACCGGUAGUCAAAACGAUCAAUCGGUGAGAUUGCAGCUUUAAAUACACCUUUUAAGACCGCUGUAAAAUUCCAAUGGUUUGCCUAAGUCUUUAAAGCUAGCAUACUGUUUAAUUGACAACCAUACUUAUUGUUUAAAAGUGUUAUGAUAUCUUUGCACAAUGUUUUUAUAUAAUUCAUUAAAGAA